GCCUGGGAUAGCUCACUUCGUAGAGCAUGAGACUCGUCAUCUCAGAAUGGUGGGUUCAAGCUCCACAUUGGGCA
Podarcis lilfordi (Lilford's wall lizard) is the source of this 74-nucleotide non-coding RNA. The record is from the annotation of a GenBank genome assembly. Lineage: Eukaryota; Metazoa; Chordata; Lepidosauria; Squamata; Lacertidae.